GAUGUAACAAAAGAAAAGAUUUUUGUAUAUUUUUCUUGCUAUUGUUCAGGUAAAUUUUGCCCAAUUUAAAUGAAAUUCACAUAUAUAGGGGUUAUUUGAAAAGUCAUUGGAUUAAUAUUGUGAUUGGAUAACAGUCAUGAUUGGAACUACCGUACUGCCAUGCAUGUGUAGGUCUACUUUGGACAAUAGCACAUGGGGCAUGAAAUGGCUGCAGUUGUGUGUUAGCCAUGCAGGGAGACUGUUGUUUAGUGUAAUGACUAUGAUGAAUUCAUCCAGAGAAUCUCAAUGUGAUGUUAUUCAGUUUUUGUGUGCAGAAGUUGUCAGACCAGUGGAAAUUUUUGAACACACAAGGAAUGAGUAUAGUGCAGAAUGUUGCCACAUUUAUAUUAUUAUAGUAUUUGAGUGGUGCAAGAGAUUCAGAUAGGAAACAAGGCACUUGGAAUCUUCCAUGCAGUGGUCUCCUACAAGUCAUAGUUCCUGAUACAGUGGUUGCAAUGAAUGAGAAUCUUCAAAGAGAUUAACAGGUGACAUUAAGGAAAAUAA
This 543-nucleotide long non-coding RNA is filed under the name Androctonus crassicauda. Lineage: Eukaryota; Metazoa; Arthropoda; Arachnida; Scorpiones; Buthidae. The record is from RNAcentral.